Molecule: ribosomal RNA, 532 nt
Filed under: uncultured bacterium
Lineage: Bacteria
Description: partial 16S ribosomal RNA
Rfam family: Bacterial small subunit ribosomal RNA
Source: RNAcentral
UGGGGAAUAUGCACAAUGGGCGCAAGCCUGAUGCAGCAACGCCGCGUGAGGGAUGACGGCCUUCGGGUUGUAAACCUCUUUUAGCAGGGAAGAAGCGAAAGUGGACGGUACCUGCAGAAAAACGCACCGGCUAACUACGUGCCAGCAGCCGCGGUAAUACGUAGGGGUGCAAGCGUUGUCCGGAAUUAUUGGGGCGUAAAGAGCUCGUAGGCGGUCUGUCGCGUCUGCUGUGAAAUCCCCGAGGCUCAACCUCGGGCCUGCAGUGGGUACGGGCAGACUAGAGUGCGGUAGGGGAGAAUGGAACUCCUGGUGUAGCGGUGGAAUGCGCAGAUAUCAGGAAGAACACCGAUGGCGAAGGCAGUUCUCUGGGCCGUAACUGACGCUGAGGAGCGAAAGCGUGGGGAGCGAANAGGAUUAGAUACCCUGGUGUCCACGCCGUAAACGUUGGCGCUAGAUGUGGGGACCAUUCCACGGUUUCCGUGUCGCAGCUAACGCAUUAAGCGCCCCGCCUGGGGAGUACGGCCGCAAGGCU